This 1228-nucleotide small RNA is filed under the name Pan troglodytes (chimpanzee). RNAcentral describes it as "retained intron". The record is from RNAcentral. Lineage: Eukaryota; Metazoa; Chordata; Mammalia; Primates; Hominidae.
AGCUGGCGGCGGGGGAGGCGGGCAGCGGAGCCAAGCUGACCCGGCGAGCGGAGCCGGGGCUGGAGAGCGGCGACCACUGCGGAUCUCGGAAGGAAGAAAUGAUGUAAAUCACUCAUCCAAACUUUAAGGUCAAAGGUGAGAAGGAAGGUCAGGAAGAACAUGGCCUGGCCAAAUGUUUUUCAGAGAGGGUCUCUGCUGUCCCAGUUCAGCCAUCAUCAUGUUGUAGUGUUCCUGCUCACUUUCUUCAGUUAUUCGUUGCUCCAUGCUUCACGAAAAACAUUUAGCAAUGUCAAAGUCAGUAUCUCUGAGCAGUGGACCCCAAGUGCUUUUAACACAUCAGUUGAGCUGCCUGUGGAGAUCUGGAGCAGCAACCAUUUGUUCCCCAGUGCAGAGAAAGCGACUCUUUUCCUCGGAACACUGGAUACCAUUUUCCUCUUCUCCUAUGCUGUGGUGUUUGUCUUUGGUGCGCUCACAGAAUGGCUGCGUUUCUACAACAAAUGGCUGUACUGCUGCCUGUGGAUUGUGAACGGCCUGCUGCAGUCCACUGGUUGGCCCUGUGUGGUUGCUGUUAUGGGCAACUGGUUUGGGAAAGCCGGACGAGGAGUUGUUUUUGGUCUCUGGAGUGCCUGUGCUUCGGUGGGCAACAUUUUGGGAGCGUGCCUAGCUUCUUCUGUUCUUCAGUAUGGUUAUGAGUAUGCCUUUCUGGUGACGGCGUCUGUGCAGUUUGCUGGUGGGAUCGUUAUCUUCUUUGGACUCCUGGUGUCACCAGAAGAAAUUGGAAAACUCUGAGCUCCUUUUAGUGAGUGAAAGGAGAACUGUACUGCCGUUUGAGUCCUGUCAACAUUGUAGCCAGCCCCUGGCACAGCUGGACGUGUUUGAGGGGAGUGAUGCACGUCUUUUAUAGAUACAGGAAAAUCUUCGCAUUUGCAAAUUACUUUUAUAAUUGAGACACUGGCAAGGAAUGAACAUAGAUGUAUUUCUAAUUUCACUUCUUGAAACAUUUCUUUUCAUCCAUAAAAAUGAUGCACAAAAAUGAUACUUAACCUGUAGUUAAAUACAGAUUACAUACAAAUGAAACCACAGAAGCAAACAGAUGUACAAUUCUUCUAUCUUUUGAGUAUUUUUAGAUAGACUGUGUGACUUUAAUUGACCUUAGUUGACCUCGGUCUCUGGACCUUCGUUGCUGCUUCUGUAAAAUGGAAAUAAAAAUAACAUCACCUCAUAAGUA